Molecule: ribosomal RNA, 484 nt
Filed under: uncultured bacterium
Lineage: Bacteria
Description: partial 16S ribosomal RNA
Rfam family: Bacterial small subunit ribosomal RNA
Source: RNAcentral
AUUGAACGCUGGCGGCAGGCCUAACACAUGCAAGUCGAGCGGAUGAAGGGAGCUUGCUCCUGGAUUCAGCGGCGGACGGGUGAGUAAUGCCUAGGAAUCUGCCUGGUAGUGGGGGAUAACGUCCGGAAACGGGCGCUAAUACCGCAUACGUCCUGAGGGAGAAAGUGGGGGAUCUUCGGACCUCACGCUAUCAGAUGAGCCUAGGUCGGAUUAGCUGGUUGGUGGGGUAAAGGCCUACCAAGGCGACGAUCCGUAACUGGUCUGAGAGGAUGAUCAGUCACACUGGAACUGAGACACGGUCCAGACUCCUACGGGAGGCAGCAGUGGGGAAUAUUGGACGAUGGGCGAAAGCCUGAUCCAGCCAUGCCGCGUGUGUGAAGAAGGUCUUCGGAUUGUAAAGCACUUUAAGUUGGGAGGAAGGGCAGUAAGUUAAUACCUUGCUGUUUUGACGUUACCAACAGAAUAAGCACCGGCUAACUUCGUG